AAAAGCAGUGGAGUCUCAUUCCUUCUGUUGGUGUUGUGCGGUGAAGCGCCAUACUGCAGCAGCAUCUUGAUGUUUUCCACCAGGCCGGCCUUUGCAGCCAGAGUCAGAGACGUCUCCCCAUCCUCUGUCAGCUCCUCCAGGGUCAGGUCUGUGGACAUCAACACUACAACACAAUGUUACACCCAUCUGUGACACCGAGCUCUCACCCUGCAGCACCUCAUGAAGAACCUCUUGUUGAGGCUGUACAGCUGCUGCGUGCAGAGGCAGCCAACCCCUGCUGUCCCUCUCUCUGAAGGCAGACGCACAACCUGGUAUCCCCUGCAGUGUGCACACAUCACCUGUGGAGACACAACCAGGAGACACACAGGUAAAACAAGGGAAACAUCAAUAUGCAUGGAGUGCAAAGAGAUCAAACAGAGGAAGAAUACAACAACAAAAAACACUGUUGUUGUAACUUUAUAAGAAUAUAAUGACACCAGAUACAGAUUCAUGUGCUGAAAUAAUGAAACACAGUUAAAUGCAGGCCUUACCUUCGUGGAUGGCUGCCAUAAUAUUUGCAAAUGCAUCACUGUUUGAUUCCUUUCUGAUGAACAAGAGGAGAGAAGUGGGUCCAGUGAAAACCUCUACUUAAGAAUUUAAUUCAUAAAGUUUUAGGAAUAAAAACACACCAGUGUUGGAGUUAAUUAUUUGUAUGUGAUCUGAAUCAGGAAUCAAGAAAAGUUCCCUUCCUCCUCAAUAUAUUACUUAAUAAUAAAGAUUCAAAAAAUGACUUCUGAUACAUGUAACUCUCAGUGAAAGUAUUAUGGGUAUAUAGAUAGUUUUGACUCUCAAACCUGUUUGUUUGUGUUGAAUAUGGCAGCUUGUAUGAAUCUUGAAUGCUCUCACGGAUGGCAAAAUCAAUAAGCUCUUCAUUAAUGCCUUCCUGCUCGAGGUCGUCCAUCUCUAUAUCAAGUGAAGCAACAAAAAGUGCAGGUUACCCACUUUAACCCUGAAAUAAAUACCGCCAUGCACAAGUCACAUCUCACCUGUUGAUCUGAACCUGAUCCGAACGUGCACCCUUGAGCACUCCUGCUUGCUGUUGUGUGUUUUUGUUGUUGCUGGGUCCUGAGCUGUCUGAGUUAUAUUUAGACAUGACCUGCAUUUAUAGUGACCCCGCUGAACUUAGAAUGUGUCAGUCACGUUUUCACAUUCAGAUAAAAAAUAAAGCUCUUCUGAGUAAUUA
Long non-coding RNA from Notolabrus celidotus (New Zealand spotty), 1222 nucleotides. RefSeq lists it as uncharacterized. The transcript has 2 exons. The record is from RefSeq and is a predicted model, not a curated record. NCBI's taxonomy places the organism in Eukaryota, Metazoa, Chordata, Actinopteri, Labriformes, Labridae.